AACCAUGACACAAAUCCUACCUUCACCACUCCUCAUCAGUCAUUAUGAAAGAAAACCAUAAGACACAAAUCCUACCUUCACCACAAGUCAUGCCGAUCUCCUCUGGUUAUUCCAAUCACAGAUCUCCUCUGGUUAUGCCGAUCUUGAAAAACGCAGGGAUUUGCAGUUUGAAUUCGAUUUUACGGUUUUUUAAGAUGCACCUUGCCAGAUCUAGGGUUACGAAUUCUUUUUUUCACCUCCUUUCUCUUUGCCUCAUACCAUCACAGGCGUGAAGGUGGUUGUUGCUACUGUUUCUGGCAAUUUGGUAGGGUCGGUUUUCCUCUUCUCUUUACUAACUUGCACAGGGCUUCUCAUUUUUGUUUCCAUCAAUUCAUCUAUCUCUAAUCGAAAACCCUAACAUCAUCCCUUCUAUCAAAUCACCGAUUGGUUCCAGAAAAAAAAACGCUUCAAUACAACACAGGUGAAAUACUUAAAAGGAACCAGAAAACCCCACCAGAUGUUAUUCCGGUCAGCGUAGAGUUAAGGUGGCUGAGAACAGUUUAUACAAUUAAUAUUGUGUGUGGGAACAGAUUUGUUCAGCUUAUAGCUUUAGUUGGAUUAGUUUUUUGGGUUUGUUUUAAAUGCCGGAAAUUUCAGAACCCUUAAGAAGAAGAAGCGCAACCUCUUCUACCAUCGGUCCAACUCGGUGAGAUUUCGGAGGAGGUCUUGAAGGCUUAUGACGGCAACUAUUCUCAAAAGCCUUCUCUUAUGGCCAUCGUAGGCCAGAUCUACGAUGUCUCACAACGCUGGUUGAUUUCUUUAAGAUGAUACGGUUGUCAUUGGUAUAUCUGGAAUGUUUUUGCUCAGAUAAAAAAUAUCGGUUGUGAAUUGGAUUGAAGGGCGUGGAAAGUCAGUUGUUUGUGAAUAAGUUAUUACUAAGGUGGUGGCGAGGAAGGUGCUAAAAACUACAGUGCCCACGCUUGUUAGCGAAAACCGUGCUCUUGAACAGACAACCACAGCCUAGCCACGGUAAAGGAGUCACCAACCACUACGAGAUGUAUGGUCAGAACCUUGUUGAUGCUUCUCGCUUUUGUUCAUUUGGUCGCAAGUUUGUACAGCAUACAUCAUGUUUAAUGGAUCAGCUUGCCAAUCUAUAUCAAGAUUCCUCCAUGUUAACCUUCGAAGGUCAGAAGAUUCAAGGAUCUCAAUACAUUGUUUGUAAGGUUGCUUCUCUCCUGAAGGGUUUAUUUGUUCAAAGUUUUCGCUUUCUGGUAAAGUUUUUACAUUGUCCAGUUACAUGGAGACCAAUGAAGGGUUUAUUUUGAUUUUACUAAAGUUGCAGAUGUGUUGGAUCCAAUUAUUGCUCUGGUGUUCUCAUGGCAAAAGAUGGAAUUGAAUUGUGGCCUACUUUACUUGAUGAAGUUCAAGCACGAUUUGACACUGAUGUUGGCCAGUUAUGGUUCCCGUUUUACUUGGUUCUUCGGCCAGGUUGUUAUGAAGAUACCAAUGGUUGUAGUGGCAGUACAAGAUUUCAUACGAGUGUGACACUAGCCUCCGGAACCUGAUUUCACUGACCUUCCACUCUUUCCCCAAACAAGGUUGGAGCAUGUAUGAAAUCAAUUUACGCUUAUUGUAACCUAGGGUUAGUUGGGACACCCGGUUCAAAGCGCGGGCCUCCCCACUAGUUAUACCUAAUUUACAAUACAAAAAUAUUCAUAAUUGUAUUUAGGUUUCUUUUGAAAUUUAAUAAAUAAAAGAUCUUGUAUUAAUUUAUAAAAUUAAUAGAAAAAAAUUAAUUUAUAAAA
Molecule: RNA transcript, 1784 nt
Organism: Helianthus annuus (common sunflower)
Lineage: Eukaryota; Viridiplantae; Streptophyta; Magnoliopsida; Asterales; Asteraceae
Exons: 7
Source: RefSeq, a predicted model, not a curated record